Molecule: long non-coding RNA, 1967 nt
Filed under: Sus scrofa (pig)
Lineage: Eukaryota; Metazoa; Chordata; Mammalia; Artiodactyla; Suidae
Description: lncRNA (ENSSSCG00055027462.1)
Source: RNAcentral
UGGAAAGCCCCAGGCCUGGUGGCUGAGAGCACAGCUUCCAAUAGACUUGGGUUCAAAUCCCUGACCAGUGGGCUAAACUCAGGACACGGAAGUCGGUUUCCUUUCCACUGAGCUUCCUCCAGGGAUGGAGAAAUGAGCCAUCCCCGUGUUGCUGUGCUUGGGCUGCUGGUGGUUUGGGACAGGUGUUGCAGCAGAAAGUUCAUUUUGCUGAAAAUACAUCGUAUAUUUCCCCCAAAUGCCUAUUCUAGUUAAUAUUCUUUUUCUUUUUUGGCUGCACCUGAGACAUGCAGAAGUUCCCAAGCCAGAGAUCAAACCUGCACCACAGGAGUGACCUGAGCCACUGCAGUGACAAGGCUGGAUCCUUAACCUGCUGCAUCAAAAGAGAACUCCCCUAUUCUUUUCCUGAUUCCUUUAUGUCUGUGAAGACCCUCCACCAAGGCUCUCGGGCCUGGCAUCUGGCAGCCUCCCCCAGCUUUGAGGAGCCCCAGUGGGUGUCCCCUCUGACACCUGUCCUCGAGGCUGAGAUGUGGACAUACCUGCAUGCUGGCGGAUGGAUAUUUCAUUCAUUCAUUCAUUCAUUCAUUCAUCAGUGUCUUAAUGAGCCUCAACAACAAGCCAAGGUCUCUGCUCUUCUGGAAACUGUGUCCUAAAGGGGGAGACAGCUGAGCAAAUAAUCUCAGGGCCACCGCUUGUGAUUCAUGGAACAACAUAGGCUAUUGAGGGAGAGUAAUGGGGAACCCAUCAGAGCAGGCCUCUCAAGGGGCCUCUUAGUGGGCCUGAAGCUGUGCCCUUAGGGGAGGAGGGCUCCAGGCAGGAGCACAUCUGUCUCCAAAGCACCCCCUGCAGUUGCUCAAAACAGAAUUUGAAACCUCUGCUCCACCUCUGCCUAGUUUCCCUAGGUCGGGGGGACCCCUCCAUCCAGCCAACUGUGCGCCCAAAGCCUGGAGGUCCAGCCGUACACUCCUCUGGCCCACACCUCCAGUCACCAAGUCCCGAGGAUUGUCCCUGGAACUUGACAGCGUCACUCUGCCUCCACCCUGUCCCAGAUGCCACCUUCUCUCUCCCCCCACCCCCACUGGUUCCCUGGUUUCGUUCUUGUGCUCUUCCCAUCCCACGCCUGCUGGGAGUGCCACAAUCGCUAUAGCCCCAGGCUGGCUGGCGACGGAUAAAGGGAGAUGUGGCAGAAACCGGCUCUCCCCCUCCGUCCACUGUGCUCCAGCUCGACCCCACCUGCCAGGCCCUCGGGGGCUGAGAACAGUUCUCUCCGCUUCUACCUCCUGCAGCAAACUGUCCUCAGAACUGCUGCCACAAAAAGCAUUUUGCAGCGGUGGAGCCACUCUAGAAUCCCCCCAAACAUCCCCUAAUAGGGGGCUCCCUCGUCUGCUUGGCCCACAGAAGGGAGGGAGGUCCUCUAGUCCUGCUCUUAUUGCACGAAGAGGUCAGCACAUCAUCAGCUAGCUGGUGAGGAAGCUGGGGUGCUAGCGGUGAUUUUCCAAACUUUUUAAAUCAGCAGAUUUUUUUCCCCUUGACAUACAACCUUGAGCACAUGAGAACUGAGCUUGGAGCUCCCGUCGUGGCUCAGAGGAAACGAAUCUGACUAGUAUCCACGGGGACGCAGGUUCGAUCCCUGGCCUCGCUCAGUGGGUUAAGGAUCCCGCGUUGCUGUGGCUGUGGCGUAGGCCGGCGGCUAUCAUUCUGAUUUGACCCCUAGCCUGGGAACCUCCAUAUGCUGCAAGUGGGGCCCUCAAAACAAAAAAAGAUAGAAGACAACUGAACUUUUCUGCUAGAAGUGCUGCUGGGUACCCUGAUCGCCGCCUUUCACCCGCCCCUCCCUCUGAAGUUGUGGGGGGAAGGGGGACAGAAUGAAAAUCAUUUCUUUCUUUUUUUCUUCCUUCCUUCCCUCCUUCCUUCUUCCUGUCUCCCUCCCUUCCUAAGAGAUAGCUAAUAAACCCUUUAUUUUAGAAUCA